CCGGCCCCUAGAAUCACAUGUCAACCUGCCCCCCCGAUUGCCUACCCUGCAGUCCCCACCAUCCCCAAUUUGGCAGCAGCAUCCCAGAACUGCUCUUUUUCAGAGCUCCUGUCAAAUUGGGAGCCUAUCAAUUCAACAUUGGUGCCAGGCCCACCCCAGCAAUCAGCAGAACCAGCCAUACUGAGGGAGGUCCUGACCAAGUUAGAGAUGGUGCUGGACCAACAAAGCCAAAUUCUUCGGCUUCUCCAGCACCGAGAGGUGCAGGUCCAGCCAGGCAACAUUGAGGAAGGUCUAC
Molecule: long non-coding RNA, 295 nt
Organism: Osmerus eperlanus (European smelt)
Lineage: Eukaryota; Metazoa; Chordata; Actinopteri; Osmeriformes; Osmeridae
Exons: 3
Source: RefSeq, a predicted model, not a curated record